RNAcentral lists this transfer RNA (66 nucleotides) under Laudakia nupta. Its description in RNAcentral is "tRNA-Tyr". The record is from RNAcentral. Lineage: Eukaryota; Metazoa; Chordata; Lepidosauria; Squamata; Agamidae.
UGGAAAGAGAGGCCUAAACCCCAUAAGUGGAAUUACAAGCCACCGCCUAAAUUCAGCCAUCUUACC